AUAUUCUUAAGUAGAAAAAAUAGGGUUUGCCCAUUUCUCAGAAUAUAGAAUGUUACAGAUAGAGAGCAGUAUUAGAUUAUGCCUAUGACCUGGUUUCCAUGGCAACACAUUCAUUAUCUUAUCUCAUUCUUUUCUAAGUUACCCAAUUUAACUGCCUUAUCCCUUUUAUCACACCUCCCCCUCAUUUAACACUCACCAGAUCCUUUUCUGAUGCUGUGGAGGCAGUAUAACAGCUUUCACAGCUGCUUGCUGAAUGGAAUGGGAAAAUGCACACACAUACACACAAACACACACACACAUUCUCUCUGUCACACACACACACACACACACACACACACACACUGGGAGUAUGUGGAGGGAGAGGAAUUUUGGCAGGAUUUCAGGAUCAAGGAAUGCAAGUGGCAGAAGGCUUCCCUUGCUUAUUGGCUGAAGGUCUACAAGGACUUGAUUCACAUAUCUGAUCAUACCUGGAGUCCAGACUUCCUCCUGAUGCCUGUACUUUGAAAUGGAUUCCACCAUCACUGCUGGGAGUCAGCCAUCAGUCUAGGCAUCAUGACUCUGGAGGUUCUUUUUGAGGGGAGUCUCUUUGAUGCUUGGAAUGAAUCCUGCUGGAUCACUGCCGAUGCUUGGAGAUCUUCACGUCUCUUCCCUCUUUCCCAUUGCUCAUGAUGUCUGUGUAACCUCCAACUAUGCAUCCCACUCCUCUUCUGAGAGACCAUUUUUUCAUAUCUUUGGUGAUGGUAUAGGCCAGGAUGAUUGGCUUUUCUGUUUUUCUUAAACCAGCUGAAGUCCUCACCACAAAUUAAUGCUAUAUUUUGGCUGAUUCACUGGGCCUGAAUGAUAAUGUUAUUUCCCACAGUGCACUAAAACAUGGGGCAGAAAUGGAAAGGUGGAUGUAUUUCUUAAUUUCCUGAAAUCUAAGCAGUGAAGUCUCACUUUUACAACAAAGGCAGCUUUGAUAGAAUGUUUGGAAACAAGUCUUUUGCUGAGCUGGUUGUGAAAUCUUAUUGGUUGGAGAGAAUGCAAGUGCAUUUCAGUGAGCACAGGUGCUGGAAGUAAGGAAUCAGGAGUAGAGUCUACAGGUGCGGAAAAAAAGAUUUUUAUAGAGACCCCCAGCUCGAAAUGUAGUUGCUCAAAAGCUGGACUUGGCCAUUCAUUUAUUUGAAGCCCUUUGAAAAUCUGACAUUUCUGUGGGCCUGUUAGUGGUGAACUGGGUUGGGGGGGGUGAGUGGGGUGAGGGAGGGAGCUUGCCAGCUUAGAGGUUAAUUGUGCUAAUUAACAGAAAGGACACAGGCUUCAGAAAGUGCCUCUGUGGACUGGAAAAAUUUCCCAAUAUUUCAUUAGGGUGACUUUGAAAAGGUUGCAGGCAAAUGGCACUUUUCACUUUAAAAAUCUAAACCAUGGCUUUUUAACCAUUUUUAAAGUUUGAGUUUGAAAAGUCCACUUUUAGUGUUAUUUAAAACUUGUCCCAUGGGAAGUCUGGAGGAAAGGAAAGACUGCAUUUUUAAGGGCAUCGUUCUCGCCUUUCAUUCCUUUAUGCUUAGCAUUUUCUUUCUCGACACUUAUUUUAAAAGCCUCAUUCUCUCCUCCUCCCAGUGCGAACCCACGCCAUAUCCCCGAAUCUGUUGUGGAAGAGCAGACUGGAAGACAUCUGCCUCUUGCCUUAUUUUUUUUAAUUCCUCUAAAUGAUAGAGCCAAGUCUCCACACCAGAGCUCCCUCUCCCUGAACAAACCAAAUGGCGGCUGUUGGCAGCACACUGACAGCUUGUUAAUGGAGGAAUCCUUGACAGUGUGACAACCUGCCUGGGCUGCGCAGGAAGCCAAAUCCGCCCCCACACAAACCCGGGUAAUUAACAGGUGGAGAAAAAUAGCAACUAACUGCCACUGAGGAGAGGAAAAAUAGUCAACCUAGUGAAUUAUGUAUAUUAAAGUAUAAUAUCUCUUUUACAAUCCCUUUCCUAGUUCUUGCUAGCAAGCUCUACUGGAAAGUGCUUUGACUUUGGAGUCAGGCGAGCCUGGAUUUGAAUCAAAGUUUGGCCACCUACUGGCUGUGUGUGACUCUGGGAAAAUUCCCUUACUGAACCUCCAUUUGUGAGCAGUUCUACGGUCAGAUACAAUUACAGAUGCCACUUAUCGGUGUUCAAUCGUCAAAACCUCUUUAUGAUGAUGGAUUUGCAAAAUUGUUCUUGUAGUUCUGUCAAGUUUUGUUUUUUAUAUUGUGAGGCAGUUUUUUGGUGCACUAGGUUUGAAAUUGUUAUUUCUACUAGGCAAAUUGGGCUUUUUAUCAUUAGACAGUGACUUCCUUUCUUUCUAGUCAUACUUUUUGUCCUGAAAUUAUUUUUUGUGAUGCUAUUUUAUGUACACACACACACACACACACACACACACAUACACACACACACACACACUCACUCACUCUCUCUCUCUAUUUGGUAAUGUUUCUGUGCUUUCAGGUUUCACGGGGCUAGGGAUACAGGAUGAAGGGCAUAGAGAAGGGGAGGGUUCUGGUUAGCUAUUGCUUGAUUAAGGCAUCCACACUGGUUGAGCUGACUGUCUAGACAUCAUUUUCUCCCAGCUCCCUCAAACCCAAAAUAUAUCUGCAUGAAUUCCAAUAAAGAAAUCUUUUCAGAGAAGCAUGUGCUGGCACCACCCACACCAGCUGGAACAUUUGUCUCUCAGCUCUGACCUACAGUAGAAAAGACAUGGAAGGAAUUUCUCAAAACUUAGAUCUGUAGCUCUUGAUAUAAUACCAGGGGCUAAAAUGAAUUUAGAAGACAUUCAAGACUGUUUAAAAUAGUUAUUUUCAAGCUUUCUUGUGUCUUAGAUCUCUUUGUGAAUGUGAUGAAAGCUAUGGACUCUCGCCUCAGGAAAAAAUGCGAAACCACAAGAUUUUCAAACAAUUUUAGCUGAUCCUAGUUUUAGUCCUAAAGUUCCAGAGACUCCAGGUAAAAGGACAGUUGUUUAAUACUCAAGUAAACAUUAAGGGAUAAAAGGUAGGAUGGAAAAUGUAGAUACAUGCAAAUAUAUGGGUUAGAAUGGUGGACUGUGCAGUCAUGGCAGAAAGUUUGCUGCCGACUCUUUUCUAGGGUGGGAUCAGAUUUAUCAGUGAAACAAUGGUCCUGAGCAGAACUGCCCUGUGGCAAAGGAAACCUGAGCUGAAGACUAAAUGAGAAAGUCCAGAACCAGUGAACAUGACCCCGGGUAAAAACCUCUAGAAAACAUCCCCCAAGGAGGGCUUCAUAACCCAGGGCUCACUGAAGAAAAUUUCAAUUGAAGAUAAGCUGAGGAGAAAAUAUCACAAAACACUGAAAAACGCCCCUGUGAACGGUAAGUCAGCAGGUGCAACAAAUAAAGCAUUCAUGCCCAAGAAAGUAAAAGUAAUGAAAUCAGCUGAAAAGUACUUUAAUGUAACAGUGUUGAAAAUAUUUAAAGUUUAAAAAGGAUAGAAUCCAUAAGAAUGGAGAUAAUGGAAGAGGACAGAAAAACUUGGGGGAAAAAGAGCUGGUUUCAGAAAAGAAAAAUAUCGGUAUGGAUUGGAGGAAACAUUAAGGACACUUUCAUCGGUAGACUACACAGGGUUAAGAAGUGAAUAAGUAAAAUGGAAAGAUUGUCAGAGGAAAUCAUCCAGAAUACAUCAGAGACAGAAGAAGAGUUGAGGGCUAAGAAAGAAAAGCUGAAGAACGGAAGAAUUUGGAAUUUUGCCCUAGACACACAGUAGUGAAACUCCAACAUUCAUGUAUCAUGGGAAAGUUCUAAAAGUUAUCAGGCAGAAGAGACAGCUUAUUUUAAAAAGUCACUGUCAGACAAAAGGCAGACUCUCAUUAUCAGUAAUAGAUGCCAGGAAAUAAAAAGGAAAGAAAUAAAAAUAUCUCCAGGGCACUGAGGCAAAAUUGUGUGAAUAUAUAUCUUACUAAUGCAAAUGAUGCAAAAACCAAAACAAACCAAAACAAAAACUGAACACCUGUUGGAAAUGUUGAGUUCACUCUGGUCUGUGAAAUUUAAAAAAAGUUAUUUUCAUCUCAAUAUUUCUGUAUUAUUCACAUUUCCUGUAAUAAACAUGAUUUACUUAUGUAAAAAGGUGAAUAUUAAAAAACAAAUAUUCUGAGUUGAAAUUAUAGGAACUUUGUUAAUGUCUGUUCAAAUUAAGCUCAU
Long non-coding RNA from Callithrix jacchus (white-tufted-ear marmoset), 4152 nucleotides. RefSeq lists it as uncharacterized. The record is from RefSeq and is a predicted model, not a curated record. Lineage: Eukaryota; Metazoa; Chordata; Mammalia; Primates; Cebidae.